RNAcentral lists this unclassified non-coding RNA (277 nucleotides) under uncultured fungus. Its description in RNAcentral is "sequence contains ITS1, 5.8S rRNA gene". The record is from RNAcentral. Lineage: Eukaryota; Fungi.
UCUCCGUUGGUGAACCAGCGGAGGGAUCAUUACAGAGUUAUCUAACUCCCAAACCCAUGUGAACUUACUAUUGUUGCCUCGUCAGAAGCUGCUCGGUGCACCCUACCUUGGAACGGCCUACCCUGUAGCGCCUUACCCUGGAACGGCUUACCCUGUAACGGCUGCCGGUGGACUACCAAACUCUUGUUGUUACAGUGUCAUUCUGAAUUUAGAAACAUAAUCAGUUAAAACUUUCAACAACGGAUCUCUUGGUUCUGGCAUAAAUGAAGAACGCAGC